UACAGAGGGUGCGAGCGUUAAUCGGAUUUACUGGGCGUAAAGGGUGCGUAGGUGGUAAAGCAAGUAAGAUGUGAAAGCCCUGGGCUUAACCUGGGAAGUGCAUCUUAAACUGCUUAACUAGAGUAUGGUAGAGGGUAGUGGAAUUUCCGGUGUAGCGGUGAAAUGCGUAGAGAUCGGAAGGAACGCCAGUGGUGAAGACGACUGCCUGGACCAAUACUGACACUGAGGCACGAAAGCUAGGGGAGCAAACAGG
This 253-nucleotide ribosomal RNA is filed under the name uncultured bacterium. RNAcentral describes it as "partial 16S ribosomal RNA". It matches the Rfam family "Bacterial small subunit ribosomal RNA", at positions 524 to 776 of the family's 1533-position model. The record is from RNAcentral.